Molecule: non-coding RNA, 119 nt
Organism: Acanthosepion pharaonis
Lineage: Eukaryota; Metazoa; Mollusca; Cephalopoda; Sepiida; Sepiidae
Source: the annotation of a GenBank genome assembly
UUACAGCCAUAUCAUGUUGAAACACAGGUUCUGUUCUUGUACAAUCACCAAGGUUAAGCAAUGUUGAGCCUGGUCAGUACCUAGAUGGAUGACUGCUUGGGAAUACUAGGUGCUGUAAG